This 253-nucleotide ribosomal RNA is filed under the name uncultured bacterium. RNAcentral's name for it is "partial 16S ribosomal RNA". It matches the Rfam family "Bacterial small subunit ribosomal RNA", at positions 524 to 776 of the family's 1533-position model. The record is from RNAcentral.
UACGAAGGGGGCUAGCGUUGCUCGGAAUCACUGGGCGUAAAGCGCACGUAGGCGGCUUUGUAAGUCAGAGGUGAAAGCCCGGAGCUUAACUCCGGAAUAGCCUUUGAGACUGCAUCGCUUGAAUCCAGGAGAGGUGAGUGGAAUUCCGAGUGUAGAGGUGAAAUUCGUAGAUAUUCGGAAGAACACCAGUGGCGAAGGCGGCUCACUGGACUGGUAUUGACGCUGAGGUGCGAAAGCGUGGGGAGCAAACAGG